RNAcentral lists this ribosomal RNA (497 nucleotides) under uncultured bacterium. RNAcentral describes it as "partial 16S ribosomal RNA". It matches the Rfam family "Bacterial small subunit ribosomal RNA", at positions 28 to 507 of the family's 1533-position model. The record is from RNAcentral.
GAUGAACGCUGGCGGCGUGCCUAAUACAUGCCAGUCGAGCGAACGGACGAGAAGCUUGCUUCUCUGAUGUUAGCGGCGGACGGGUGAGUAACACGUGGAUAACCUACCUAUAAGACUGGGAUAACUUCGGGAAGCCGUAGCUAAUACCGGAUAAUAUUUUGAACCGCAUGGUUCAAAAGUGAAAGACGGUCUUGCUGUCACUUAUAGAUGGAUCCGCGCUGCAUUAGCUAGUUGGUAAGGUAACGGCUUACCAAGGCAACGAUGCAUAGCCGACCUGAGAGGGUGAUCGGCCACACUGGAACUGAGACACGGUCCAGACUCCUACGGGAGGCAGCAGUAGGGAAUCUUCCGCAAUGGGCGAAAGCCUGACGGAGCAACGCCGCGUGAGUGAUGAAGGUCUUCGGAUCGUAAAACUCUGUUAUUAGGUAAGAACAUAUGUGUAAGUAACUGUGCACAUCUUGACGGUACCUAAUCAGAAAGCCACGGCUAACUACGUG